GGCCCGUUAGCUCAACUGGUAGAGCAGCGGACUCUUAAUCCGCAGGUUGAAGGUUCGAGUCCUUCACGGGUCA
RNAcentral lists this transfer RNA (73 nucleotides) under Candidatus Aminicenantota bacterium. RNAcentral's name for it is "tRNA-Lys". It matches the Rfam family "tRNA". From Rfam's summary of the family: Transfer RNA (tRNA) molecules are approximately 80 nucleotides in length. Their secondary structure includes four short double-helical elements and three loops (D, anti-codon, and T loops). The record is from RNAcentral. RNAcentral also lists the same sequence under 1 other name. Lineage: Bacteria; Candidatus Aminicenantota.